CGCGGCCUAUCAGCUUGUUGGUGGGGUGAUGGCCUACCAAGGCGACGACGGGUAGCCGGCCUGAGAGGGUGUCCGGCCACACUGGGACUGAGAUACGGCCCAGACUCCUACGGGAGGCAGCAGUGGGGAAUAUUGCACAAUGGGCGCAAGCCUGAUGCAGCGACGCCGCGUGGGGGGUGACGGCCUUCGGGUUGUAAACCUCUUUCACCAUCGGCGAAGCCGGGAGCUUUUGUUUCUGGUGACGGUAGGUGGAGAAGAAGCACCGGCCAACUACGUGCCAGCAGCCGCGGUAAUACGUAGGGUGCGAGCGUUGUCCGGAAUUACUGGGCGUAAAGAGCUCGUAGGUGGUUUGUCGCGUUGUCCGUGAAAUUCCCUGGCUUAACUGGGGGCGUGCGGGCGAUACGGGCAGACUGGAGUACUGCAGGGGAGACUGGAAUUCCUGGUGUAGCGGUGGAAUGCGCAGAUAUCAGGAGGAACACCGGUGGCGAAGGCGGGUCUCUGGGCAGUAACUGACGCUGAGGAGCGAAAGCGUGGGGAGCGAACAGGAUUAGAUACCCUGGUAGUCCACGCCGUAAACGGUGGGUACUAGGUGUGGGUUUCCUUCCUUGGGAUCCGUGCCGUAGCUAACGCAUUAAGUACCCCGCCUGGGGAGUACGG
RNAcentral lists this ribosomal RNA (657 nucleotides) under uncultured bacterium. Its description in RNAcentral is "bacterial SSU rRNA". It matches the Rfam family "Bacterial small subunit ribosomal RNA", at positions 232 to 885 of the family's 1533-position model. The record is from RNAcentral.